RNAcentral lists this ribosomal RNA (253 nucleotides) under uncultured bacterium. RNAcentral describes it as "partial 16S ribosomal RNA". It matches the Rfam family "Bacterial small subunit ribosomal RNA", at positions 524 to 776 of the family's 1533-position model. The record is from RNAcentral.
UACGUAGGGAGCAAGCGUUGUCCGGAAUCAUUGGGCGUAAAGCGCGCGUAGGUGGCCACAUAAGUCCGUUGUGAAAGUCAAAGGCUCAACCUUUGAAAGCCGAUGGAUACUGUGUGGCUUGAGUAUGGAAGAGGGUCGCGGAAUUCCCGGUGUAGAGGUGAAAUUCGUAGAUAUCGGGAGGAACACCAGUGGCGAAGGCGGCGACCUGGGCCAAUACUGACGCUGAUGCGCGAAAGCGUGGGGAGCAAACAGG